This 460-nucleotide ribosomal RNA is filed under the name uncultured bacterium. RNAcentral's name for it is "partial 16S ribosomal RNA". It matches the Rfam family "Bacterial small subunit ribosomal RNA", at positions 338 to 795 of the family's 1533-position model. The record is from RNAcentral.
CCUACGGGAGGCUGCAGUGAGGAAUAUUGGUCAAUGGACGAGAGUCUGAACCAGCCAAGUAGCGUGAAGGAUGACUGCUCUAUGGGUUGUAAACUUCUUUUAUAAAGGAAUAAAACGCGGCACGUGUGCCUUUUUGCAUGUACUUUAUGAAUAAGGAUCGGCUAACUCCGUGCCAGCAGCCGCGGUAAUACGGAGGAUCCGAGCGUUAUCCGGAUUUAUUGGGUUUAAAGGGAGCGUAGAUGGGUUGUUAAGUCAGUUGUGAAAGUUUGCGGCUCAACCGUAAAAUUGCAAUUGAUACGGGCAGUCGUGAGUACAGUUGAGGUAGGCGGAAUUCGUGGUGUAGCGGUGAAAUGCUUAGAUAUCACGAAGAACCCCGAUUGCGAAGGCAGCUUACUAAACUGUGACUGACAUUGAUGCUCGAAAGUGUGGGUAUCAAACAGGAUUAGAUACCCGAGUAGUC